Molecule: ribosomal RNA, 253 nt
Filed under: uncultured bacterium
Lineage: Bacteria
Description: partial 16S ribosomal RNA
Rfam family: Bacterial small subunit ribosomal RNA
Source: RNAcentral
UACGUAGGGAGCAAGCGUUAUCCGGAUUUAUUGGGUGUAAAGGGUGCGUAGACGGGAUUACAAGUUGGUUGUGAAACCCCUCAGCUCAACUGAGGAACUGCAACCAAAACUAUAAUUCUUGAGUGCAGGAGAGGAAAGUGGAAUUCCUAGUGUAGCGGUGAAAUGCGUAGAUAUUAGGAAGAACACCGGUGGCGAAGGCGACUUUCUGGACUGUAACUGACGUUGAGGCACGAAAGCGUGGGGAGCAAACAGG